GCGGUGGAGCAUGUGGUUUAAUUCGAAGCAACGCGCAGAACCUUACCAGCCCUUGACAUCCCGGUCGCGGAUCGCAGAGAUGCUUUCCUCAGUUUCGGCUGGACCGGUGACAGGUGCUGCAUGGCUGUCGUCAGCUCGUGUCGUGAGAUGUUGGGUUAAGUCCCGCAACGAGCGCAACCCCCGCCUUCAGUUGCCAACGGUUCGGCCGUGCACUCUGGAGGAACUGCCUGUGACAAGCAGGAGGAAGGUGGGGAUGACGUCAAGUCCUCAUGGCCCUUAUGGGCUGGGCUACACACGUGCUACAAUGGCGGUGACAGAGGGAUGCAAUACCGCGAGGUGGAGCAAAUCCCUAAAAGCCGUCUCAGUUCGGAUUGUUCUCUGCAACUCGAGAGCAUGAAGUUGGAAUCGCUAGUAAUCGCCGGUAUCCAGCCUCGCCGCGGUAGUAAAGUAACGUUCCCGGGCCGUU
RNAcentral lists this ribosomal RNA (466 nucleotides) under uncultured Alphaproteobacteria bacterium. RNAcentral's name for it is "bacterial SSU rRNA". It matches the Rfam family "Bacterial small subunit ribosomal RNA", at positions 929 to 1382 of the family's 1533-position model. The record is from RNAcentral. Lineage: Bacteria; Pseudomonadati; Pseudomonadota; Alphaproteobacteria.